Molecule: long non-coding RNA, 109 nt
Organism: Trachymyrmex cornetzi
Lineage: Eukaryota; Metazoa; Arthropoda; Insecta; Hymenoptera; Formicidae
Exons: 3
Source: RefSeq, a predicted model, not a curated record
AAAAAGUACAGGCAUAUUGUUGAAAGUAUUGGCCUCUUGCAGCAAUGCAAGCAUUGCAUUUAGUACGGACAGCUCGUGUUGCAGCUAAACACUGAUCUGGUGAUAUUUC